CCUACGGGAGGCAGCAGUGGGGAAUAUUGCGCAAUGGGCGAAAGCCUGACGCAGCGACGCCGCGUGAGGGAUGAAGGUCUUCGGAUUGUAAACCUCUGUCAGCAGGGAAGAACGGUCACUGUGCUAAUCAGCAGUGAAUUGACGGUACCUGCAAAGGAAGCACCGGCUAACGCCGUGCCAGCAGCCGCGGUAAGACGGAGGGUGCGAGCGUUAAUCGGAAUUACUGGGCGUAAAGCGCUCGUAGACGGUAUGUCAAGUCAAGGGUGAAAUCCCCGCGCUCAACGUGGGAACUGCCUUUGAAACUGGCAAGCUGGAGUGUGUGAGAGGAUAGUGGAAUUCCUGGUGUAGGGGUGAAAUCCGUAGAUAUCUGGAGGAACAUCAGUGGCGAAGGCGACUAUCUGGCACAUAACUGACGCUGAGGAGCGAAAGCGUGGGUAGCAAACAGGAUUAGAUACCCGUGUAGUC
This 465-nucleotide ribosomal RNA is filed under the name uncultured bacterium. RNAcentral describes it as "partial 16S ribosomal RNA". It matches the Rfam family "Bacterial small subunit ribosomal RNA", at positions 338 to 795 of the family's 1533-position model. The record is from RNAcentral.